This 468-nucleotide ribosomal RNA is filed under the name uncultured bacterium. RNAcentral's name for it is "bacterial SSU rRNA". It matches the Rfam family "Bacterial small subunit ribosomal RNA", at positions 28 to 507 of the family's 1533-position model. The record is from RNAcentral.
GACGAACGCUGGCGGCGUGCUUAACACAUGCAAGUCGAACGGUGACGAGGAGCUUGCUCCUCUGAUCAAGUGGCGAACGGGUGAGUAACACGUGAGCAACCUGCCCCAGACGUCUGGGAUAACAGUUGGAAACAGCUGCUAAUACCGGAUACGAGACGGAGAGGCAUCUCUACCGUCUGGAAAGUUUUUCGGUCUGGGAUGGACUCGCGGCCUAUCAGCUAGUUGGUGAGGUAAUGGCUCACCAAGGCGACGACGGGUAGCCGGCCUGAGAGGGCGACCGGCCACACUGGGACUGAGACACGGCCCAGACUCCUACGGGAGGCAGCAGUGGGGAAUAUUGCACAAUGGGCGAAAGCCUGAUGCAGCGACGCCGCGUGAGGGAUGACGGCCUUCGGGUUGUAAACCUCUUUCAGCAGGGAAGAAGCGAAAGUGACGGUACCUGCAGAAGAAGCACCGGCUAACUACGUG